UUACUAACCCUCAAUAAGUUUGAGUGUAUUUUUAGUACAAAGCUUUUGUGAGUGUUUUUUAGUAUAAAUGUUUUGUAAGUAGAUGGGUUUUGUAAGUUAACUGUAAGUGAACUCUGAACUUAGACUUUAGUGUUCUGAGCGCGUGAAUAGCUUCUUCAUUGUCAGAGGUAUUAAUACAUUUCUCAUACAUGUAGGUAUUUAGGAAGCGUGCAUUACUGUUUGGUUGUCUCAUCAUGCUAGAAUGAUGUUGCAGAAACGGUCACCACAGUAUCAGUUAAAUGUAUCUGAGGUGUCUGAGGUGUGGUUCAUCAUCAGUAUUUCUAUCCUUAACCCCUCUGCACACAAUGAGUCUCUGAAAUGUGAUAGGUUGAAAUUUCAGAAAGACAGAAAGCGGCCAGAAUCGUGUCAUCCUUUUCACCCCGAGGAGAAUGCCAUGGAGUGUGGAGGAGCAGCAGGCCUCUCUGCCCCCCUUACAGCAGCACUGCUCCCCCUACUGGCCACUCUCAUUAGCAGGUGACCACACCGCCCUUGAGGCCCACCGUCCUGGACCCAACAAUGGACCUAACACUGGAGAGAUUGAUAGACAGGCGCACCAUCAAAUGCUGACAACGCACAGGGAGCCUCGCCAACAAGAAGUACUUGCUCACAACUAACUGAGUUGCUUAUUACCAACAGAGUGACGUACCAAUUGUAAAGCAUCUCCCUGACCAGCAGAGAAAUAAGAAAUUAGACAUUGUUCAAGAGAAACAGAACAAUAUUCCAAGGGGAAAACAAUAUGGACAUUAGACCGAACAAAUAUACCUGCGAGCAGCAAUGAACGGGUUUCACAGGAUGACAGAAAGGACACAAGAUCAGUUGGAUAACAAAGCCAGCCCUCUGUGAUGUAAGAACUAUCUUCCUUUAUGUGCAGUCAAUGAAAGCAUUACCAUGUUGAUUUAAAUUUCAGUUGGUUCACUCCACAUUAGCGUUCCUAAAUACUUCAAUACACUCUCACAGCUGUAGUACGCUGACUGCAAGCGGCAGGACAGGAUUUUACAGAAUAAAAUAUCCACUUUUCCCUAA
Non-coding RNA from Salmo salar (Atlantic salmon), 1062 nucleotides. Lineage: Eukaryota; Metazoa; Chordata; Actinopteri; Salmoniformes; Salmonidae. The record is from RefSeq and is a predicted model, not a curated record.